AUUGGCUCUCGCGGACGCUGACGGACAGGGCAGGGGAGGGCCAAAGCCCGGUCUGACGGGCGCGCGCGGGGGCGCGAAAGCACGAGAGCGCGGCUGCGCGUGCGCGAGCGGCGGGGCUUUCUCCCGAGCCGUCGGAGGGAGCCGGAGCGCUUCUCCAGAGUUGGUGAUCGAUUGGUCGUAAUCCAACAUGCAGAAGUGAGUGAGUGGUGAAAAGCAGCAGAGCUGAUGGGUUGUGAGGAUGUAAGUGCGUUUGAAGGCUCUCACACCCUCUACUCCAGGAUCUAGACUGACAAGGAACCAGCUAUGAAAAAGGCAGCAGAUUUCUAGAACAUUCUUCCCUGUUAAGUAGUUGGCAUACGCAGAGUGCUGUGAAACAUCUCCAUUGCUUCCUGAACUCCAGGGUCUAGAACUCCAGAUGAUAGUAUCCUCUGCCUCUUUCACCCAGGUGAGAAUCUGAAAGAUUAGAAUGAAGUCCCACCUGAGGUGGGGAGCUGGAACGGUCCCUGAUCAAAGCCUGAGCACACUGCCUUCUUGGUAGGGGGAGUAGAAUCCUGCACCUGGCCAGGAGAACGCAGGGAUGCUGGUUCCUUAGGCUGUAGGAUUGGAAAAACUGAAUUUCAGCUAGUGACCCUAAUGCCAGAACGUCAGAAAACUACAGAAACAAGACGAUGGAGGAUGGAGAGGCUGCAGCCGGCCUCGGAGGAGCUGGAACGGGUUGUAUAUCUUAGUUGCAGGUCCUUCUAGUUGUGGGACGUGGGACGCCGCCUCAACGUGGCCUGACGAGCUGGUGCCAUGUCCGCGCCCAGGAUCCGAACCCUGGACCACUGCAGUGGAGCCCUCAAACUUAACCACUCGGCCACGGAGCCAGCCCCAAGAGUACUCUUUAAAACUUUAAAGAUCCCAUUAUCCAUUCCAGCAAAUCUGAAACCUGGAAGUAAUCUUUUUUCUAAUACUUUUCUGAUUAUGGAAGUAACAUAUUAAUUGUAUAACAUCUGGAAAAUACAGUCAAGCACAAUAAAGAAAAUUUAAAAACUGUAAACCCACAUCAUGGAGAUCAUUGUUGUUAAUCAUCACUGUAAUCAUUGUGAAUAGCCAUUCAAGCUUUGUUUUGUGUGUGUGUUUAUAUCUAACCUGUCUAUACCUAGUUGUGUGUAUAACUUUUGAUUUUCAAAAUUGAAAUUAGAUUGUUUUCGUUACCUAAAUUAAGAACAUUUCCUCAUUGUCACAUGCACGUAUGUGACAUAUCCAUCAUUUAAUCAUAGUUUACCUGUGCCCUAUUUUUUAAUAUUUCAAGUUGUCUCCUAGUUUUUGCUCUUUUGUGUAAUGAGGCAAUGAACAGAGGCU
This 1344-nucleotide long non-coding RNA is filed under the name Equus asinus (donkey). RNAcentral describes it as "lncRNA (ENSEASG00005038015.1)". The record is from RNAcentral. Lineage: Eukaryota; Metazoa; Chordata; Mammalia; Perissodactyla; Equidae.